Micropterus dolomieu (smallmouth bass) is the source of this 1457-nucleotide long non-coding RNA. RefSeq lists it as uncharacterized. Lineage: Eukaryota; Metazoa; Chordata; Actinopteri; Centrarchiformes; Centrarchidae. The record is from RefSeq and is a predicted model, not a curated record. The transcript has 4 exons.
UAUGGUUGUAGAUAGCUAGCUAACUCACUAUAGAAAGACUAGUAUUGUUUUUAUAGUAGAAGCUUUUUCAAAAAGAAAAAGGAUGAAGGCAAGAAGGCGCAGGCAAAGUUAGCAGCAACAUCGGCAGCAGAAGAGCCAGGAAGCAAGAGUGCCACUGCCUCGUACAAGCUCAGCUGCCAUGACUUAAGUCCUGAGAUAGAGGUCAUGAAAAAAAUUCACUGGAAUAGAAUUUGAAAUAGAAACUGAGGAAGAGGAGGAUGUGUGGGUUUUGGCGAACAUCAACCAAUUCAUUCUUCUUGUGAGGCCUUUGAGAUGUGACAGUUUGACAAGUGGAAACCUCUGGGGAGAUGCUUCCCAUAACCCUGCAGGAAAUGAAAUAUGGAUUAUCAGGAACUAUCCAUGAAGAACACCAUUGGCCAGAUGUGAACUGCACAAUCCCAUCUUUGUUUUCCUGUUUCCUCCACUGUUGGAAGAAAACAACCAUUCCUGAAUGAUGGCUAAUUGGUUUCAAGCAAUGGCAAACCCACUGUCUAACAAUGCCCACUGAGCAUUAUUAACAGCCAGAUACAGAAGCUAAAUCCUCCAUCAAGACACAGGUGACAUUUGGGAACAGCUGGCUGGCCUUUCUGAGCUCUGUGCUCCACUUCACAGGUGUCGCAGAGCAAAUAUCCACUGGUCAGCUGUCCAAGAGGCAGUCUGAGGCCAGUUUAUGUGAGGAGGUGAGAUUGGAGAAGUUUUAAUUCAGUCAGUAAGAGUUAUCUUGCGUGCACAUGCCCAAUGUCCAUAUCCAACUGGCACUACUGGCAGAACAUCGUGUUGUGAGGGAGGAAUGCAAAGUUCAUGGUUCAGUGUUUGUGCUUAUUUCGUGAAAUGUUAUAAGACGGUUUUGCUUCUUGGCUCUGGGCAAGACCACCUCUGUUGAAUCCAAUUCAAUUGAGUGUAGGCCAUGACCAAAGAAAAUUCUUGAGGCUCAUCAGUUCACACUUUUUUAUGCUGCUGAGUGAAAGAGGUAGAAGAAAACAAAACAUUGUGUAAAAAUAAAACUGCAUCAUAUUAAGAGGUGUUUCGAAUGUUUUGUUCACCCUUAUUUACAUACUGAGGGGAAUAUAGAAAAGCUCUCAAUAUGUAUUACCAUAAUGUUUAAUCAACACAUCUACCCAGGUGUUCCUCCCAGGUAAACACGUUACUCUCUUUGUUGUCAGCAACUGUCAGUAACGAAGCCAAGCUCUAUAACAGAAAUGGCAUAUUAUGAAUAAAGGAAUUGCAAGUGUAGAAUGAAAUGCAAAAUAAAAAAAACUAUUCCACUACAUCUGUUAUGUAUCUGUAAGUGUGUUUGUUUACAUUGUAUAUUUUUAUUUCCCCAUGGGGAUUUUUCUUUUGAUCAGUAAUUGAGAUGCAUGAACAUCACACACUGUGGAAUAUUUAUUUAUUUAUUCUCAAAGACUCACCAUAGUAUG